Molecule: ribosomal RNA, 402 nt
Filed under: uncultured prokaryote
Description: bacterial SSU rRNA
Rfam family: Bacterial small subunit ribosomal RNA
Source: RNAcentral
UGGGGAAUCUUGCACAAUGGGGGAAACCCUGAUGCAGCGACGCCGCGUGAGCGAUGAAGCCCUUCGGGGUGUAAAGCUCUUUCGGCAGGAACGAUAAUGACGGUACCUGCAGAAGAAGCUGCGGCUAACUACGUGCCAGCAGCCGCGGUAAUACGUAGGCAGCAAGCGUUGUUCGGAGUUACUGGGCGUAAAGAGUGUGUAGGCGGUUUGCCAAGUUCGGUGUGAAAUCUCCCGGCUUAACGGGGAGGGUGCGCCGAAAACUGGCAGGCUAGAGUGCGGGAGAGGAGAGCGGAAUUCCUGGUGUAGCGGUGAAAUGCGUAGAUAUCAGGAGGAACACCUGCGGUGUAGACGGCUCUCUGGACCGUUUCUGACGCUGAGACGCGAAAGCGUGGGUAGCAAACA